AAGGUCGAAGAUGACGAGAUGGUGUCUUUCAUACUCACAGGCUUGUAUGGUGAUUACAAUCCUAUUGUUACAUCCGUUAUGGGCCAUCCCGAUCAGAUCUCACUCAGCAAACUAUAUGCUCAAGUUAUGGCAUAUGAAA
This 139-nucleotide small nucleolar RNA is filed under the name Setaria italica (foxtail millet). RNAcentral's name for it is "Small nucleolar RNA Z247". It matches the Rfam family "Small nucleolar RNA Z247". From Rfam's summary of the family: Z247 is a member of the C/D class of snoRNA which contain the C (UGAUGA) and D (CUGA) box motifs. Most of the members of the box C/D family function in directing site-specific 2'-O-methylation of substrate RNAs. The record is from Rfam by way of RNAcentral. Lineage: Eukaryota; Viridiplantae; Streptophyta; Magnoliopsida; Poales; Poaceae.